GACGGGACCGCACAAGCGGUGGAUGAUGUGGUUUAAUUCGAUGCAACGACGAAAACCUUACCCACCUUUGACAUGGCAGGAAUCCCGAAGAGAUUUGGGAGUGCUCGAAAGAGAACCUGCACACAGGUGCUGCAUGGCUGUCGUCAGCUCGUGUCGUGAGAUGUUGGGUUAAGUCCCGCAACGAGCGCAACCCUUGCCAUUAGUUGCUACGAAAGGGCACUCUAAUGGGACUGCCGGUGACAAACCGGAGGAAGGUGGGGAUGACGUCAAGUCCUCAUGGCCUUUAUGACCAGGGCUACACACGUACUACAAUGGCCGGUACAAAGGGCAGCGACACAGCGAUGUGAAGCCAAUCCCGAAAAGCCGGUCUCAGUCCGGAUUGGAGUCUGCAACUCGACUCCAUGAAGUUGGAAUCGCUAGUAAUCGCGGAUCAGCACGCCGCGGUGAAUACGUUCCCGGGCCUU
Molecule: ribosomal RNA, 464 nt
Filed under: uncultured Allobrachymonas sp.
Lineage: Bacteria; Pseudomonadati; Pseudomonadota; Betaproteobacteria; Burkholderiales; Comamonadaceae
Description: bacterial SSU rRNA
Rfam family: Bacterial small subunit ribosomal RNA
Source: RNAcentral